This 206-nucleotide long non-coding RNA is filed under the name Carica papaya (papaya). RNAcentral describes it as "long non-coding RNA (CPAP_LNC009436)". The record is from RNAcentral. Lineage: Eukaryota; Viridiplantae; Streptophyta; Magnoliopsida; Brassicales; Caricaceae.
UUACUGAGCAUAUGGAACUCACUCUUUCUAUGCGCUCCCCCCAGAUGAGGAACCGUCAACUGACCUACCCAUUGAAGUUAUGAGGAUCCCAUAGAUCCGCAAACCUUGAGUGCAUGAUCGUUCCCUCACUCUGAUGAGUCUAAUAAUAUAAUGAUAAAAGUGGCCCUCUUUUGUAUUUUGACAUUGUAUUUUCUAGCCACUUCUGG